AUAAGAAACAAAAUCUUUCAAAAAAUGUGUCGCUUUAUUCAUUAAAAAAAAAAAAUUAUACAUUUUCCCAUCACAGACAAAUAUGACAAUUUUAUUACUGAUUAAAAAAAAUAUGCUUCAAUAAAUAUUGCUUAUUUUGCACAUAUCGAUUUUAUGGUAUUAUACAUCAGCUAAAAUAAGAGAUGAACCUGCUGCCUGGCCACAGAAGAAAUAGACAAAUAAAAUGACUUUACAAAAAAAAAAAAAAGCUUGUGUUC
Biomphalaria pfeifferi is the source of this 257-nucleotide non-coding RNA. Lineage: Eukaryota; Metazoa; Mollusca; Gastropoda; Planorbidae. The record is from the annotation of a GenBank genome assembly.